RNAcentral lists this ribosomal RNA (468 nucleotides) under uncultured bacterium. RNAcentral's name for it is "partial 16S ribosomal RNA". It matches the Rfam family "Bacterial small subunit ribosomal RNA", at positions 28 to 507 of the family's 1533-position model. The record is from RNAcentral.
GACGAACGCUGGCGGCGUGCUUAACACAUGCAAGUCGAACGGAAAGGCCCUGCUUUUGUGGGUUUCUCGAUUGGCGAACGGGUGAGUAACACGUGAGUAUCCUGCACUUGACUGUGUGAUAACUCCACGGGACUGGGGCUAAUACCGGAUAUGAUCUCUUGCUCCAUGUUGGGGGUUGGAAAGUUUCGGCUUUUGUGGAUGGACUCGCUGCUUAUCAGCUUGUUGGUGGGGUAGUUGCUUACCAAGGGUUUGACGGGUAGCCGGCCUGAGAGGGUUAACGGCCACAUGGGGCCUGCGAUACGCCGCAGAAGCCUACGGUAGGCAACAGUGGAGAAUAUUGCACAAUGGGCCGAAGCCUGAUGCAGCAACGCCGGGUGCGGGAUGACGGGUUUCGGGUGGAAAACAGCUUUGGAAUGUGCCAAAGCGUGAUUGACGGUAAUGGGUCAAGAAGCCACGGCUAACUACGUG